This is a long non-coding RNA of Mus musculus (house mouse), 3399 nucleotides long. RefSeq annotates it as predicted gene, 41258. The transcript has 3 exons. Lineage: Eukaryota; Metazoa; Chordata; Mammalia; Rodentia; Muridae. The record is from RefSeq and is a predicted model, not a curated record.
UUUACAGUUGUACUAAAGCCAGAGCAUUAGUUCUUGCCUGGGAAUGUGUGCAAUUGACAUUGCAUCUUACCCACAUUUUAUUGUUCAGGUAUUGCCACAGUGGUGGUGCAUAACUAAGCUCUCCAGAAGCCAUUAGUUUACAGACCAGGAAGUGUGGGUCAGCUGGAGCUUGGCUAAUCUACACUCAAUUCAGCUAGCUGGUUCUGUUUUUGGGUGAUGGGUCAGAAAAGAUUAUUCUAGGCUCUGUCUUUAAGUCAUUGCUAUUUCUCCGGUGUUUUCUUCUGUGUUUGCCAUAUGGCCUGAAAACACUGGCUGUGUAGAACAUGAUCUUCAUGGUAGAUCACUGGAAGGCAAGCCUUGGCACGCUCAUAUCGACUCAGGAUCCCAUUCAAUGUGAUUCUUAACAUUCCACAUAUAAAAACUUUAUAGAUGUAUUGUUCAUCAUCGAGACAAGAAAAUAAACUUCACACAGACUAGCAUGACAGCAGAAUUGAUCAUGUUUAGAACUGGAUAUGAUUAUGAUUAAAACAGUCCGAAGUAAGAAUUUUAUAGUACUUAAGAAAAGUGUUCUUUUUCAAAAAACAAAAUACAAAGUUCACUUCUUAGUAUACUAUCCGUCAUAACUAUCCUAGAGGAUUAAGGUUAUUAAGAUGGAACUUUUAUACAGUUCAAAAUUUAUUUUUGAAACAUGCUUCCACAUCGUUUAUCAAAGUAGACAUGAGAAGAUGAUAUAAUUAGGCUCAAUACUAAAACAAUGUCUUCUAGAGUCAAAUGUGUCGUCAUCUUCAGUGACCACAGGCCAUGGAGCUUAGGUGCCGUGGUGUUUAUCUAUUGUGUAUUGAGAAUCAUGCUUCUGUACGGGAGUUUAUAAUCCUUUCUGAACAGAUAGUGAUUCAUUCGUUCUCAAAUCAUGUAAAAAAGGUAGAAAAUAUUAAAAUGUAGGGCUAGAAGAAAUUUAAAUAAAUUCAUUUUCAUAAAAGUAAGUAAUGUGUGGUGUUCAGAAAUGUUAGUAAUGUUUUAGAAUAAACUAAGGAGAUAGGGGUAAGAUUUAAAUCAAGAAACUGAAAUGCAAAAGCAUUCAUAGAAUCAGAAUAUUUUAAGGAGGAGAAAUAUCUAAAUCAAUGUUUUUCAACCUCUGAGUCACAACCCCUUUGGUUCAAUUUGUAUCAAUAAAAAUGCACGCUGCAUAUCAGGUAUUUACAUUAUGAUUCAUGGCAGUAGCAAAGUUACAGGUAUGAACUAUCAGUGAAAAUAAUUUUAUGGUUGUGGUCACCACAACAUAGGGGACAGUCUUAAGGUUUCAGAGCUUUAGGAAGUUCCCUGUUCUAAACUCUUGGAUAGUUUUUGAAGCUUAUUUAAAAACUAUAGCAAACUUUCUAUGCAGAUAGAAUGUUCCACCUAAUUCAAAGGCCAAACACAUCUGUCUGUUUGUUAGAGCAUAUUGGUACUUAUGGGGCCGUGACUUGAAUGCGGAUGCUAAUAGCCUGUGCUUUCUUGGAAAGGGACUCAUCCUGACCCUUGGGAUGCAGCUUUAAGAGCAAUAAUUUUUAUUUCAAGCAAUGACAGGGAUCAAGUGAAGUCUGAAGUAUUUUGACAUAGAGAGCAGAUUACUCCACUAGUAACAAAGCAUUUUAGGUUUCGGAGUAUAGUGAUUCAUCUGGACUUACUGUUACAUUUUUUUCCAUAUUGCCAAUUUCUGGAUUCUCUUUUCUUUCUGUUUUCUCCAUGCGUCCUAGGAAGAGACUCAGAAAUAAACCAGAUUAACUUCACUCCAAGAAAGGUCGACUGGACAUUUCAAGCAAUUGUCUGUCAGUUGGCAACACCACCAAAGUGGUUGGAUAAAAUAAAUACCAUUGUACACGGAAUGAAAAAUAUACCACUCUUAACCAUCUUUCUGCUUCAUCUCCUGAAGAGUUACCUGAGCCCUGAGGGGAAGGAUUUGAUGGAGGUAUCCCAUUAAGGAAUGAGUAGUUCAAGGCCUCUAACUCUCUGAACAUUGUCCAGUUUUGGGUCUCUCUAUUUGUUCUCAUCUACUGCAGAAAGAAGCAUCUAUGAUGAUGGAAUUACUAUGGCCUAAAUAAACCUUUCCAACUCUACUGAGUAUCAAAUCUAAUUGCACAUCACACUGCCAUUUCUGACAAUGGUAAUGGCGAAACCCACCACUGAACCUCAAACCAAUCUUGGGAAUAUGGACUACCACCUGAUGAAAGAUCUUCAAAGUCACAUCAAAGAUGGGGAGAAGCCAAACUCAUUUUAUAAUCAUUCUACCACAGUGAGUUUCUUUUAGUGUAUUUCCAAUCAAUUUAGUUAAUCUGCUUCUUUGAUUCUUGCUUUUCCCCAUUCAUAUUAUUAUUUUCUUAUUUCUAAACCAUUUAAAACAUAUGUACUUUGCAUUUUGAGUGUGGUAAUGUAAUAACCAGUACCCUGAUUGUGCCACCCCUUUGACUUUCCAUGUUUUAUGGUUUUGUCUUUGGUUUGAUGCAAUGUUUGUUUGCCUUUGUUUUUAUGAGAAACCAAAGAACCACACAACGUUUGCUUUUUGAUUUAUCCAUUCUUGCUCAUACAUUGACCAGUGAAUUUAAAGGCCAAUUUAUCAGGUUGCAGAUGGUCCUCAGGGGAGACGUUUCUCUCAUCAUCAAGUCGAGGUAGGCACAGCUGAUUAUUUGGCAUCUUCCUGCUUUAGAAGCAGCUAGUUUUUCCUUUGGGUUAUAGCCUCUCUCUUCCCAAAGCUGUUUCCUAAAUGGUCAUUAGAAAAUAAGAACCAAACCCAUUUAUUGACAAAUGCUCCAGGGAACUCAUCUCUUUGGAGCUUCUUAGAACUCUUGUUAUCUUAAAAAAAAUUCAUUUCUUUUUCCUUAGAGGACACAUAGCUUCCUGUGUGAGCUUGGCUUUGAACUCUCUUUAAAAUGAUUAUUAUAUCUAUCCAUUUUAGGUAUCAUGUAACUAGUUGGGCUUUAAACUCCUACCACAGUGUUGCAAAUGGAGGUCAGAUUGAUCUGCUUUAGGAUGCACAGGUGAAAAUGUAAAUGAAUUCUAUAGCUGCAGUGCAGACUUGAAGAGUUGGGAAGGUGGUGAACAUCCAGGUGAAUGGAUGCCAGGAACUCAGGGGAACAUUGUUUUGAGCAUCCUUGAAGACUCUGAUACCUUUAUUCUACUAUUGUGCUUUGAUCUGCCCAUGUAUGAUGGAUUAAUUAAUGCUCCUAUAUUAUUCAGACUUCAUUUCUUCCGUAUGCUUUUCUGUAUUGCUGAUCUUGCUUUCAUACUGUGAGGUACAUUUUAUAAACAACACAAUGUACUGAACCUCAUUUACAUUCAUCAUAUACUCCAGCGGAUUUUUUUUUUUUACUUUCUCUUAAUAAGAAAUGGAAGAUUAAAAAUGGGUAAGAAUUCUGGGGGGUG